RNAcentral lists this ribosomal RNA (465 nucleotides) under uncultured bacterium. RNAcentral's name for it is "bacterial SSU rRNA". It matches the Rfam family "Bacterial small subunit ribosomal RNA", at positions 338 to 795 of the family's 1533-position model. The record is from RNAcentral.
CCUACGGGGUGCAGCAGUGGGGAAUAUUGCACAAUGGGCGCAAGCCUGAUGCAGCCAUGCCGCGUGUAUGAAGAAGGCCUUCGGGUUGUAAAGUACUUUCAGCGGGGAGGAAGGCGAAAAGGUUAAUAACCUUGUCGAUUGACGUUACCCGCAGAAGAAGCACCGGCUAACUCCGUGCCAGCAGCCGCGAUAAUACGGAGGGUGCAAGCGUUAAUCGGAAUUACUGGGCGUAAAGCGCACGCAGGCGGUCUGUCAAGUCGGAUGUGAAAUCCCCGGGCUCAACCUGGGAACUGCAUUCGAAACUGGCAGGCUGGAGUCCUGUAGAGGGGGGUAGAAUUCCAGGUGUAGCGGUGAAAUGCGUAGAGAUCUGGAGGAAUACCGGUGGCGAAGGCGGCCCCCUGGACAGAGGCUGACGCUCAGGUGCGAAAGCGUGGGGAGCAAACAGGAUUAGAUACCCCGGUAGUC